RNAcentral lists this ribosomal RNA (460 nucleotides) under uncultured bacterium. RNAcentral describes it as "partial 16S ribosomal RNA". It matches the Rfam family "Bacterial small subunit ribosomal RNA", at positions 338 to 795 of the family's 1533-position model. The record is from RNAcentral.
CCUACGGGAGGCAGCAGUGAGGAAUAUUGGUCAAUGGACGAGAGUCUGAACCAGCCAAGUAGCGUGAAGGAUGACUGCCCUAUGGGUUGUAAACUUCUUUUAUAUGGGAAUAAAACGUUCCACGUGUGGGAUUUUGUAUGUACCAUAUGAAUAAGGAUCGGCUAACUCCGUGCCAGCAGCCGCGGUAAUACGGAGGAUCCGAGCGUUAUCCGGAUUUAUUGGGUUUAAAGGGAGCGUAGGUGGAUUGUUAAGUCAGUUGUGAAAGUUUGCGGCUCAACCGCAAAAUUGCAGUUGAAACUGGCAGUCUUGAGUACAGUAGAGGUGGGCGGAAUUCGUGGUGUAGCGGUGAAAUGCUUAGAUAUCACGAAGAACUCCGAUUGCGAAGGCAGUUCACUGGACUGCAACUGACACUGAGGCUCGAAAGUGUGGGUAUCAAACAGGAUUAGAUACCCGAGUAGUC